RNAcentral lists this small RNA (89 nucleotides) under Salmonella enterica. RNAcentral's name for it is "partial RtT sRNA". It matches the Rfam family "RtT RNA", at positions 1 to 88 of the family's 130-position model. From Rfam's summary of the family: This family represents a bacterial cis-regulatory element known as RtT RNA. The exact function of RtT is unknown although it is thought that it may be involved in changing the cellular response in relation to amino acid starvation. RNAcentral also lists the same sequence under 2 other names. Lineage: Bacteria; Pseudomonadati; Pseudomonadota; Gammaproteobacteria; Enterobacterales; Enterobacteriaceae. The record is from RNAcentral.
AUAUCUCUCCGUACGGGAAGGAUGAGAAGCUUCGACUAAGGUUCGAUUCGAGCGCAGCGAGAACGCGUUGCCGCAGGCAACGACCCGAA